CCUGGCGGCAGUAGCGCGGUGGUCCCACCUGACCCCAUGCCGAACUCAGAAGUGAAACGCCGUAGCGCCGAUGGUAGUGUGGGGUC
RNAcentral lists this ribosomal RNA (86 nucleotides) under Escherichia coli. Lineage: Bacteria; Pseudomonadati; Pseudomonadota; Gammaproteobacteria; Enterobacterales; Enterobacteriaceae. RNAcentral also lists the same sequence under 4 other names. The record is from RNAcentral.